UUCCUGAAGCGGCUCCCAGGACUCGGCCCACUGAGCGGUCGGGGUGCCUGCCAAUCAUUGCGUGCCCUCGCCAAUCACGGUACGCCUCGCCUUGUAGCAACGAGUUCUUUCUGGUCCACAGGCGGACAGAUGGCGCCGGGAAGGCGGGUCCAGCCACAGUAAAAGUCUGAGUAAACUCGGCCGGGAUCUUGCCCCCUAGCCGCCACGCCUCCAGGACGUCUCUUUCCUGGCUCAAGCUUGUGAGCUGCUUAGUAACAGGUGGUUGGACCCAGGAGUAGGAGUCGCGCCACCCUCCGCUCGCCUCUGCACCUUGGGGCUCCAUCUUCACACUUCAUACCGGCUAGUGAAGUGCCUACUGACGGCGCGUACUUUUUGCCAGGAGUCCUAAUUACGACGCAUCGAGAUACACAGAGGACUCCCCGAUGUAGCAGCGAGUACAAAAAAAGUGUGGCCAAAUUACUGUUCAGCAAGUUUACUUACGAGCAUGACAGCUGAUCUUGUCAACCUGGUGGGAUCUGGAUCUGGAACCACUGGAGAGACACACUUCUGCGCAUAUCUAUGUGGCUGUUCUAAGAGAAGAAGGGGACACACCUUCUAAGAUACAAAGAGAUCCAAGGAAAAAGCAAAGUGAUGUGAGGCCACCGGCCUGGCUUCCCUUCUUGCUAUUGUGUCUGUCCUGCCCCUGUCACUUCAGCUGCCAUGCCCUGCUGAUGUCAGACCUUUACCUUCACACAUGGACUGAAUGUCAGUUGCUCUCCCGGAAUCGUCCAGGUGUCGAUGCCAGUGAGAGACUACUGAGGGAUGCAGCAGUUACUGGGUUCUCAGUCUCUCUGGCCUGUAGACAACUGUGGGUCCAUUGCUCAGACUGCAUUAUGUAAAUCUAUGUAAUGCAUCUCUUUUUAUAUCACACAUUUGAUCCAUCCUGCUCCUCUGGAGAACCCUGGCCAUUGUAGAGAUGUGCAGUGUUAAUAUUGUAAAAUUGAUGGAAUAUCCAAUCACCUCAGAGACAAAAAUAUGGGCAUUCCCUGAAGAAGUUCCUAGCUUGUGCUUAAUGGUGAAGGUAGGACCCACCGCAAACAUGGGUGGUAUCAUCCCAUGUGCUGUAACCAUGAAUUAAAAGGGAAAGUGGGCGGA
Molecule: long non-coding RNA, 1134 nt
Organism: Mesocricetus auratus (golden hamster)
Lineage: Eukaryota; Metazoa; Chordata; Mammalia; Rodentia; Cricetidae
Exons: 2
Source: RefSeq, a predicted model, not a curated record